This is an RNA transcript of Diachasmimorpha longicaudata, 7525 nucleotides long. RefSeq lists it as uncharacterized. The transcript has 6 exons. Lineage: Eukaryota; Metazoa; Arthropoda; Insecta; Hymenoptera; Braconidae. The record is from RefSeq and is a predicted model, not a curated record.
GAAAUUGGAAAGAGUUUUUUAAAGAUGUAUUCUCCUAAAUUCACCAUGCGCUGUACAUGCACACAUCCUUGGGCGUGAACUUUCCAAAUUUGUUGCGAGUUUCCAAGAUUGAAACCAUUUAAUAAUUUUUUUUUUCAGUUCUAAUGUGUCAAUAUUCUCAGGUUGGGACUUUGGGGAAAUAUUGCAACGUGACUCUGGGCAUUUUGUGUGUGGAGAAGUGAGUAAGCGGUUAAGUUCAUCUCCUUAUAAGGUUAUGUCUGGCCUAUCUCAAAGUUCCUCGACAAACAAGCUGUCACCCAUGAAUUACAUGAGUACUGUUGACUCGUAUCAAAUAAACCGUACUUAUAGGGGUUGGGGGAUGCCCUGAGACUUUUUGGAUUCCAAAAGACACCUACCAUUUUUUUAAUUCGAUGUCACAAACGAGACGAAACUCACGAAAUGCCGCAAACUUGGGAUGAAUGUAAGAGUGUUCCGUCUUCCGUAUGACGAACUAUCGAUAUAUCGUGACGGUUCUGAUUCGACUUCUUCAGUCGCUAGAUCGAGCCGACCUUUAUCGCUGCAAAAUAUCGAUACUCUUUGUUUUGGAGUCGCGCACGCACGUUUCAAAAUGGUGGUUAGUAUCAGGGCGCUUGGCGGUACACCUGUGUGAAGUGCAGAUUAAAAUCGGAAAGAGUGUGUGCCACUGGAGGCCCCCAGACGUACAAUUUCAACUGGAAUUCCGUGAAAAUGGUGAUGAUCCGCUCCUUCUUGAUGACGGGGACGGGGACGAUGGGGUUGUCCUGACUCCCUCCUGAUUACUACUGGCAGCUCCUGCCUUACCCUCCUCCUCCUCAUCGUAGUAGUAAUAGACGUACUCGUACUCGUAAUCCUUUCCGUUUGGCCCCUUCUUGAUCUGUAUCCGAGAAUUGGAUCCUGCUGGAACCAGACUCACGUCACCGAGGUCAUCGAAGUUACGAUUGGCGAAGGGCGUCCAGUUGUCCUUGCUGUCCUCUCUGAUUAUGUUAACUGGAACGAAGUCGAAGGAUGGCCUUGAGUACUGCUGACGAUCUGUCGUUAAUAUUGGACGCAUUGUCGUGGGGUAUUCAUCGCUGAUGUGGACACCAGGUAUGUGAUCAUCCCGGCUGCUUGGGCGGUAUUUGUGAGAGGUCUUCGGUGGUGCAUCCUCUGCAUUGUCGAAGUCCUCGUCGUGGCGUCUGAAGCCUGAACUGAUCGGCAGGGAUUCUUCGGGAAUGUAGCCAGUGGAGCUGAAGGUCUCCAGUUGAACUCGUGCUUGACGCUUUGAGUUUAUGCUGGACGAGUCCUUUGGUGUGUUCACGGGGUUUAGCGGGUCCAGGCUUUGUGGGACUGGCUCGAGGGGAUGGAGCUUGGAGUCUAGUUUCUGGAUUCGCUGGAUCACCUCUUGUUUCUGCUGAGCCCGAUUCGGCACGUCCGAGGGCUCCACCUCUUCUGACGGGUAGGGAAUACCUUCUGGCAGCUUGUGGGAGGUUGCGAAGUCUGGAAAUACAUUUAAAGAGUGGGAAUUGAGGACUUGAAAGAUUGUUUCGGAUUUUUUUGGCCAGUGGAACCUUGGCUUGGUUUUUUACCUGAGCUGGAUGCCCCUCGAGCACCUCCAGGCGUAGACCUUAUGUUAACGUACUCCGGUGUGUGUUUAGCAUCUUCAGACAGUGCAAGCGCAACUGUGCAGCAUAAUCUGCACAUAUAAUGAAGAUUUUGUGUAAUAAAUCUUCAGGUGGAGGUGAACUGGGUUGAAAAAUACCAAGACGUUAUUAAUGAACCAGGAUGCAGAUUGUGAAAGUCCACAGACGUUUAUAAACACUGGGGAUGGCUUUUAGUCAUCGGGGGACUCUGUGGAAUACACUCAACGCUUUCCCGUCCAAUUUUUCAUGCACCCAAUGUAAUAUCUUGUACUAGUAACUCAUGAGCGAAGACUUUUACACCGGGAUUACUAUUUAGUAAAAAUUAUAGGAGAAUUCGCGGAAUUGGCGAUGAGGAAACAGUUAUUACUCACUAAUCUGUUAUUUAUUUUCAUUUAAUCAUUUAAUUUCUUUCUGAAAAUCUAACAUUUUCUAGACGUUAGUGAGUUGUUGAUAAUUUUCAAGGAUUAAAGGAUAGUAAGUCUUAGGGUGUUUCUGGUCAUCUUUAUUUUUAUUUUAUUUUUAACUAGUCAGUAAAUAUUUUUUGCCUCCAUGUGUGUAAACGUGAGUUACGAGAUUUCUUCAACUUUGUGAAAAGGGAACCGAUGAUUACAGUUCUUUCAAGAUCUUCGCGGGAAGUUUGAGGUUUUUAUCGGAUGGUAAUUGAGGCUUUUAGCUCCUCAGGGUGAACCAAUGCGAAUGUAGAAGUGAGGGAGAGAGAGAAGAAUAAAGAAAAUUGAGUGACAAACUGGUUUAAUUACGGGGAAUGAGUCGAGACGAGGUCAUAAAUUUUUCGGCCAAGGCUAACACUGUUGAAACAGGAAUUCUGGAGUAAAAUUGUAGAAACGGACGUAUCUGAACGAUAUGCGGUGCAUUCCAUGAUAUUUACUGGAGGGAAAAGGUUUCGUAUUCUACUGGCAAUUUAAUCUGUGGAGGCAGUAUUUUUUCAAAGUAUUAUUUUCUACGCAGAAAUAAUAUUCUUCAUGGAAAAUAUUUUUUAUUUAUUAUUAUUAUUAUUUAUUUCCUUGAUGUUACAAAAGUCUUUCUUUGCUUAACAUCCUCCCCAGCCUCGCCUUCAAAGAAAAUAUAUCUUCGAUAACAUUAUUAUUAACGAUUAAUUAUUAAAUGAUAGUUAACUUCAAGUGACUUGUCUCAUUAAAAACUUCAUUCAAUUUAUGGAGGGGCCUAGUUCCCCAGCAAAAUAAUAUGACAGUAAUUAAAGUAUUUAACUAAUAGAAUGAUUAGAUUUAUUUGGCUAUGGGAAGACCAAUUAGUCCUGUAAUUUUCACUGAAUGUUUAUCUCUGUGUAUGUGACAACUCAUGUAAUUGGGUGCGGCAAAAUGUUCGCGUCAGGAGUUGAUAUUUCCUUUCAAUUCCGGAAAUUCCAUUGCGUUCAGCAUAUACAUUAUCAUUUUAAUCGAUGAAGUGAUAUUUUUGAGUCCCCGUGGGGUACAAUUAUUUAUUUUUAUGGGAUGAAGUUACGUAUCAUUCAUGAAAUGUUCAGAAUUUUCUUUUCCUCGUAUACUGAGAUUAAUUUUAUUUGUAAAAAUAAGCGGAUAAUGAAAAAAUGUCGAGAGUACUGAGAUCUCUGUGAAUCAUGAUAUCGAGUGAAAUUGAAGUGUUAAUGGAUACCUAGACCUAGUGACACACAUGAUGAGAAAUCCCUCAAGUCACUGAUGCAUCUGCUCACCGGAAGUGCCAGACAAGACAUUUAACUCGGGAAAGAAUGGAGUGGAAAGCUAUUUGAUACCGAAUCCUGGCUUCCCAGUUUUAUAAAGUGAUCCGGAUGUCGCGGGUUGCUUAUUAUCAAUUCACGACCCACGAUGAUGAUUCAACACAAUUGGAGAUUCAUUCUCUCAUUGGUGAAAGAUAAAAGAUCAAUCCUUUCUACUUUCUAGCCGACUUUUACACCUAAACUUCUUUCAAACACAGAUUACAGUGUAAAUUGCUCCGGGAUGAGGAAAUUAUGUUUUUAAUAAUACAUACAAAAAAUAUAUAUGAAAUGUAUGUGUCAUUUAUUUUUUAAUAUGAUUUUUACAAGUGUUUGUGGUACACCUCAUUCGUGAGGUACUUCUCGUCGUGAGAGGAUUUUGAUUAAUCUCUUAAUUGACAAAGGCUCGAAUAAUUUUUAAAUAGUUUUGAUAAUUUAAAAUCCUUUCGAAUAUUCAGGAGACCGCGAUCAACCGUGAAUUAAAAAUACAUUCUCAGAGAAAGGAAAUGAAUUUCCAUAAGUACUUUAAUAUUAUUUCCCAUGAAUUCCACUGGGGAUUGGUCAGUUAAUAGAAGCGAAUGGCGUCAGUUAUUAGUAACAAUUGAAAUAUCACAAUUUUUACUGAAUUUAGAGGAAAUUUAUUUAAUUUUCGACAGUUUAACAUUUCGAUUUUCUCCCAGCAGCUCUAUCCGGUAUUCUAAACAUUUUUAUAUUCCACGGACUAUCUAGUUCCGGCUACGUUUCAGGGUGUUUACAAACAAUAAUAAUCAGAAUGAUAUUGGUAAAAAAAAAUUUUGUUUUCAACUUAUGGUAAGAAUUUAUCACGUUAUCCAUGUGGGAGAAAGUGGUUUCGUGCUGGAUAUAAAGUUAUAAUGCGUAUAGUCAUAUUUCUAACGGUAUUAACAACGACGCUGCUUAUGUAAGAUGACGAUAAUACCGCAAAAACCUUCAACCGAAAACCGCAAGUUUAUUUACUUAUUUUAUUCGUAUUUUUGAAUCCGAUUUUAACAUUAUUAUUUUUUUUGUUGAUCUGCAUCUUGUUAACAUUCACCCGAAGACAAUGCGAACAACAAUAUUUUUAGUUUUUCAUGUUUCUUCAUCAAAGAAUUAAACGGAUCGACAUUAUUGGAUUUUUUUUAUAUUCCUCCGGGUGUUGCACGUCAAAAAAAAAUUCUCAAUAUUUAAAUUUCUCAAAAUUUGACUGGAACAGCAGUUUCAUGCGUCAAUAAAUAUUUCUUCAAGAAUUUAACCGGAAAUUUCUCCCGAGCCCAGUAAUUACAGCGAUAUUAACAAAAUUAUCUCCACAAUAUUCCGUUUAAUUUUAGUUGUUUUCUUCAGUUUCGAAAAAAUUCAUCCCAUUAUUUCCAUUUUUUGUUCCACAAAUGUGGCAACUGCCGGAACAGUGAAAUUAUAUGUAUGUGUAUCGGUUGCCCUCGGGGCAGGACUUUCAAAAAAUUGACGGCCAAUUGGUUUUGACUUGCGCAAGCAAUUGGUACGAUGGCACCUGACACGACACCGUUGUUAAUCGAUUAAAUGAAUUGUAAAUUCCUGUCAUUCUCAUGAAAUUAUUGACUGAGGAAGAAAUGAGGAAUCGAUCAAUCUACGUAAAAUACGCGAACAGUUGCCCCGAGGGCGAAUCGCUGCUCUGACGUCAAUAAAAUCGAAAGGAAAAGGUGAAACCAUGGGACCGAUCAUCAGACCAACUCAUUCAUUAUUCACAAAUUUAUUGUUCGACAGUUCACCUAAAUUAUUCAGCGAAUCGCGUUAUGUAAUGAAUAUUAUAUAUAUUGAGUUCAUUACAUGGCGUUUAUUAUUAUUGCGACCUUGAGAGUGCGCACAGUUCAUACGCAUAAACGAGAGAAAUUGUCAGACAAUUUUUAUGUUUUAGGGAUGAAAUUGGCGCAUCUGAAAAUUAAAAAAAAAGAAAAUUCAUUUGCAUGCGUAAAAAUAAAUGAAAAAGUCCAGUUGACCGAGUCUCUAUUGCACCAAAGAAAAAUAUCUGUUUCGCUGACAAAAAACCCUGAAAGGUCCCCCUUCCCCCGUCUCACCAAUAAUUAUCUAAGAGCCAAUAAGUUGUGUGGGGAAAUGUUACAAGAGCACUUUUGAAACUCAUCAAAUUUUCUGUAAGAACAUGACAUUCCGUCUUAAAAUCGAUCACUGUCCUGAUAAUUUCAUAAUCAAUAGUGAGAUAACUUAAGCCAUUAUAUAGUACCAUUUCAAUACAAAAGUAUUACUUCAUUUCACUUGGAUAUUACACUGGCAAAAACGAAGGUGUUUUUGUUCAAAUAAAAUUUUUUAUUCUGAUUAAAUUACACCAAGAAUUUAUCUCAAAAGUAGUUCCGGAUUUUAAAAACUUUAUUUAUUUAUUUAUAUUCUGUUUAUUCAACUCCUCACAGUCGAAUUAAUUAUUGGUGAAUUUGAUCAGGGACUGCCUAAUCGAAUUAAUUGUUCAUAAAUUCUUUAGAAGUCUCUCUCUCUCUCUCUAGCCCCCCCCCCUCCAAUCUCCUACCCCUUCCCCUCUCCCUUGGCAUUUGCCAUCCAAGAAAUUUGCAUUUCGAAGGAACGAACAAGCUCUUCAGCACCCCAAUCAUUAUCCCCAUGAAAAUCUUGAUCAAUUCAAUGAAGACCUUUGAAAAAAAUGAAAUUAGCGAAAGUACAAACGACACGCGGUGAAACACGAGAGCUCGAUCUUGCGGACUUGCUGCACCGGAUUGCCGAGGUGUUGUAUAUACAUUUGAAAAAAAAGGGGCAAGGAGCGGCAUUAGGGAGCGGUGUAUCUGGCGAAGACGCGGCGAAGGAGAAAGGUAGACUCGGCACAGUUUUCAUCAUAAAAAUUUACCAAAAAAUUGUCAAAAUUUUGCGUAUCAAAAAUAAAAAUAAACUUAUCCGCAAAAACUAAAAACUUUCCUUCACAAUUUUUCAUUACUUGAUUUUUUACUCACAACAAUAAACUCCUCAGCCACAUAUCUGCACUUCACUGGCGAUUCCAAACGUUCGCUCGAUCGAUUUCCAAUUUUUUUUUUGUCAAUUUGUUAAUUUAUUUGGUUAAUAAUGUAGCUGUUUUUUUUUAUUUAGGGUAUUGUAGUGAAUUGUUCAUUUGUCGGUUCAACUGCACUUCAUUUGGCCGUCACUUGCGCAUUACGAUAACUCACUGAUAAACACACAAAAAAAAACUGGGAGCCUGUGAGUCGUUGCUCCGUGUGUGAGAGUGACUUUUGCUGGAGUUUUGGAAAAAGUAAAAGUAAGAGGCAGUAGAUGAUUGUGGUGAGGGUAUGAGAACGCCGGCGAUGCCAGGCCUCUACUUAUACCGCCACCCACCACUGGACACUUUGGGGCCUGGGCAACCCCACCAGUACAUGUGGAAAAGUGGACGUUCGAAUGGGUGAACGAGACUAACACCUGGGGGAUACUGUUGAGAAUGGUAGACGAGUUAAAAAAAUAUAAAAACUCCAUGUACACGAUGCGCAACAGUUAAUGAUAAGAAUGAUGGACACUGCAAAUGAAUUCAACUUAUCGGGGACUGCGAAUCCCUGGGGUAUCGCUGGAGGAGUUACACUGACCUACAGAUCGAGCACCAUCACUCAUCUCCAUUGGCCUCCAUUCGCUCCCCAAGAAUUUCCAUUUAUCACUGAUUUUUCAAUGAUUUAUUGCUAACGGGGGCAUCAUUGUUAUCAAGGGAACAACCGCAUUAACGUGGUGGGUAUUUUUGGAGUAGAAACGGAACCUGUUUUAUUCGGCGACCAGGCCAGACCAGUUUUGACGUCUGUCCUUGCAAGGUUUUGUCUCCUGGGUCUCAAAAAAAGAAUGAGAGAAGAGAAAUUUAUUUGCUUUUCCAAGAAGAUGAAUUUUUGAGAAUAAUUUACUGAUUAAAAAAAUACAUUCUAUCGUUCACAUUAAUUCAAUCGCAGCUUAUUCAUCUUCCUCUUCAUCUUAAAUUUUUCUCUAACAAUUAAAAAACGGUUUUUCGGAGUCAAUUCGUUUAUUCUAUUUUCUAUAUUUAUUUAUUCAUAUAAUCAUCAUUACAAUUUAUUCUUUUAAUAGCCCGUGAGGAUCGCGAUCUCCUAGCUAGUAAUAAAACUAAUGAUAAAAAAAAUAUUUGUUUGAAGAGCGCCGGCUCAGCAGCACCGAGUAAUUAUCCUUCACAGAUUGACUCGCUUAUUCACUCAUAAUUCCUCACGUG